RNAcentral lists this ribosomal RNA (450 nucleotides) under uncultured bacterium. RNAcentral describes it as "partial 16S ribosomal RNA". It matches the Rfam family "Bacterial small subunit ribosomal RNA", at positions 354 to 796 of the family's 1533-position model. The record is from RNAcentral.
GUGGGGAAUAUUCCGCAAUGGACGAAAGUCUGACGGAGCAACGCCGCGUGAGUGAUGAAGGUUUUCGGACUGUAAAGCUCUGUUGUUUAGGACGAAAGUGCCUGUUGCAAACAGUUACAGGUAUUGACGGUACUAAACGAGGAAGCCACGGCUAACUACGUGCCAGCAGCCGCGGUAAUACGUAGGUGGCAAGCGUUGUCCGGAAUUAUUGGGCGUAAAGAGCAUGUAGGCGGGAAUCUAAGUCUGUUGUGAAAAUGCGGGGCUCAACCCCGUAUUGCGAUGGAAACUGGGUUUCUUGAGUGCAGGAGAGGAAAGGGGAAUUCCCAGUGUAGCGGUGAAAUGCGUAGAUAUUGGGAGGAACACCAGUGGCGAAGGCGCCUUUCUGGACUGUGUCUGACGCUGAGAUGCGAAAGCCAGGGUAGCGAACGGGAUUAGAAACCCGAGUAGUCC